This 1554-nucleotide ribosomal RNA is filed under the name Salmonella enterica subsp. enterica serovar Senftenberg. RNAcentral's name for it is "bacterial SSU rRNA". It matches the Rfam family "Bacterial small subunit ribosomal RNA". The record is from RNAcentral. Lineage: Bacteria; Pseudomonadati; Pseudomonadota; Gammaproteobacteria; Enterobacterales; Enterobacteriaceae.
AAAUUGAAGAGUUUGAUCAUGGCUCAGAUUGAACGCUGGCGGCAGGCCUAACACAUGCAAGUCGAACGGUAACAGGAAGCAGCUUGCUGCUUUGCUGACGAGUGGCGGACGGGUGAGUAAUGUCUGGGAAACUGCCUGAUGGAGGGGGAUAACUACUGGAAACGGUGGCUAAUACCGCAUAACGUCGCAAGACCAAAGAGGGGGACCUUCGGGCCUCUUGCCAUCAGAUGUGCCCAGAUGGGAUUAGCUGGUUGGUGAGGUAACGGCUCACCAAGGCGACGAUCCCUAGCUGGUCUGAGAGGAUGACCAGCCACACUGGAACUGAGACACGGUCCAGACUCCUACGGGAGGCAGCAGUGGGGAAUAUUGCACAAUGGGCGCAAGCCUGAUGCAGCCAUGCCGCGUGUAUGAAGAAGGCCUUCGGGUUGUAAAGUACUUUCAGCGGGGAGGAAGGUGUUGUGGUUAAUAACCGCAGCAAUUGACGUUACCCGCAGAAGAAGCACCGGCUAACUCCGUGCCAGCAGCCGCGGUAAUACGGAGGGUGCAAGCGUUAAUCGGAAUUACUGGGCGUAAAGCGCACGCAGGCGGUCUGUCAAGUCGGAUGUGAAAUCCCCGGGCUCAACCUGGGAACUGCAUUCGAAACUGGCAGGCUUGAGUCUUGUAGAGGGGGGUAGAAUUCCAGGUGUAGCGGUGAAAUGCGUAGAGAUCUGGAGGAAUACCGGUGGCGAAGGCGGCCCCCUGGACAAAGACUGACGCUCAGGUGCGAAAGCGUGGGGAGCAAACAGGAUUAGAUACCCUGGUAGUCCACGCCGUAAACGAUGUCUACUUGGAGGUUGUGCCCUUGAGGCGUGGCUUCCGGAGCUAACGCGUUAAGUAGACCGCCUGGGGAGUACGGCCGCAAGGUUAAAACUCAAAUGAAUUGACGGGGGCCCGCACAAGCGGUGGAGCAUGUGGUUUAAUUCGAUGCAACGCGAAGAACCUUACCUGGUCUUGACAUCCACGGAAGUUUUCAGAGAUGAGAAUGUGCCUUCGGGAACCGUGAGACAGGUGCUGCAUGGCUGUCGUCAGCUCGUGUUGUGAAAUGUUGGGUUAAGUCCCGCAACGAGCGCAACCCUUAUCCUUUGUUGCCAGCGGUUAGGCCGGGAACUCAAAGGAGACUGCCAGUGAUAAACUGGAGGAAGGUGGGGAUGACGUCAAGUCAUCAUGGCCCUUACGACCAGGGCUACACACGUGCUACAAUGGCGCAUACAAAGAGAAGCGACCUCGCGAGAGCAAGCGGACCUCAUAAAGUGCGUCGUAGUCCGGAUUGGAGUCUGCAACUCGACUCCAUGAAGUCGGAAUCGCUAGUAAUCGUGGAUCAGAAUGCCACGGUGAAUACGUUCCCGGGCCUUGUACACACCGCCCGUCACACCAUGGGAGUGGGUUGCAAAAGAAGUAGGUAGCUUAACCUUCGGGAGGGCGCUUACCACUUUGUGAUUCAUGACUGGGGUGAAGUCGUAACAAGGUAACCGUAGGGGAACCUGCGGUUGGAUCACCUCCUUACCUGAAAGAAGC